GCUGGGCAUGGUGGUGCAUGCCUGUAGUCCCAGCUACUCGGGGGGCUGAGGCAGGAGGAUCGCUUGAGCCCAGGAGUUUGAGGUUGCUCUGAGCUAGACUGACACCACGGCACUCUAGUCCGGGCAACAGAGUGAGACUCUGUCUCAAAAAAUAAUAAUAAUAGAAAGAACAGCAUAAGCCCAGGAGUUUGAGGUUGCUGUGAGCUAGGCUGACAUCACAGCACUCACUCCAGCCUGGGCAACAAAGCGAGAUUCUGUCGA
Molecule: small RNA, 261 nt
Filed under: Microcebus murinus (gray mouse lemur)
Lineage: Eukaryota; Metazoa; Chordata; Mammalia; Primates; Cheirogaleidae
Description: Metazoan signal recognition particle RNA (ENSMICG00000029302.2)
Rfam family: Metazoan signal recognition particle RNA (bases 1-148)
About the family: The signal recognition particle (SRP) is a universally conserved ribonucleoprotein. It is involved in the co-translational targeting of proteins to membranes.
Source: RNAcentral